Dipodomys ordii (Ord's kangaroo rat) is the source of this 65-nucleotide non-coding RNA. Lineage: Eukaryota; Metazoa; Chordata; Mammalia; Rodentia; Heteromyidae. The record is from Rfam.
GGUGGCUCAGUGGUAGAGUGCUUGCCUUGCAUUCAUGAGUCCCUUGGUUCAAUUCCAAAGCACCA